UGGGGAAUCUUGCGCAAUGGGCGAAAGCCUGACGCAGCAACGCCGCGUGUGUGAUGAAGGUCUUCGGAUCGUAAAGCACUGUCGGGAGGGACGAAUAAGGGCCGGGUGAACAAUCCGGUCCGACGACGGUACCUCCAAAGGAAGCACCGGCUAACUCUGUG
RNAcentral lists this ribosomal RNA (161 nucleotides) under uncultured bacterium. RNAcentral describes it as "partial 16S rRNA". It matches the Rfam family "Bacterial small subunit ribosomal RNA", at positions 355 to 507 of the family's 1533-position model. The record is from RNAcentral.